UACAGAGGUCUCAAGCGUUGUUCGGAUUCAUUGGGCGUAAAGGGUGUGUAGGCGGCGCGGUAAGUCGGGUGUGAAAUCUUGGAGCUUAACUCCGAAACUGCAUUCGAUACUGCCGUGCUUGAGGACUGGAGAGGAGACUGGAAUUUACGGUGUAGCGGUGAAAUGCGCAGAUAUCAGGAAGAACACCCGUGGCGAAGGCGGUUCUCUGGGACGGUACUGACGCUGAGACGCGAAAGCGUGGGGAGCGAACAGG
Molecule: ribosomal RNA, 253 nt
Filed under: uncultured bacterium
Lineage: Bacteria
Description: partial 16S ribosomal RNA
Rfam family: Bacterial small subunit ribosomal RNA
Source: RNAcentral